GGUUAAGCGACUAAGCGUACACGGUGGAUGCCCUGGCAGUCAGAGGCGAUGAAGGACGUGCUAAUCUGCGAUAAGCGUCGGUAAGGUGAUAUGAACCGUUAUAACCGGCGAUUUCCGAAUGGGGAAACCCAGUGUGUUUCGACACACUAUCAUUAACUGAAUCCAUAGGUUAAUGAGGCGAACCGGGGGAACUGAAACAUCUAAGUACCCCGAGGAAAAGAAAUCAACCGAGAUUCCCCCAGUAGCGGCGAGCGAACGGGGAGCAGCCCAGAGCCUGAAUCAGUGUGUGUGUUAGUGGAAGCGUCUGGAAAGGCGCGCGAUACAGGGUGACAGCCCCGUACACAAAAAUGCACAUGCUGUGAGCUCGAUGAGUAGGGCGGGACACGUGGUAUCCUGUCUGAAUAUGGGGGGACCAUCCUCCAAGGCUAAAUACUCCUGACUGACCGAUAGUGAACCAGUACCGUGAGGGAAAGGCGAAAAGAACCCCGGCGAGGGGAGUGAAAAAGAACCUGAAACCGUGUACGUACAAGCAGUGGGAGCACGCUUAGGCGUGUGACUGCGUACCUUUUGUAUAAUGGGUCAGCGACUUAUAUUCUGUAGCAAGGUUAACCGAAUAGGGGAGCCGAAGGGAAACCGAGUCUUAACUGGGCGUUAAGUUGCAGGGUAUAGACCCGAAACCCGGUGAUCUAGCCAUGGGCAGGUUGAAGGUUGGGUAACACUAACUGGAGGACCGAACCGACUAAUGUUGAAAAAUUAGCGGAUGACUUGUGGCUGGGGGUGAAAGGCCAAUCAAACCGGGAGAUAGCUGGUUCUCCCCGAAAGCUAUUUAGGUAGCGCCUCGUGAAUUCAUCUCCGGGGGUAGAGCACUGUUUCGGCAAGGGGGUCAUCCCGACUUACCAACCCGAUGCAAACUGCGAAUACCGGAGAAUGUUAUCACGGGAGACACACGGCGGGUGCUAACGUCCGUCGUGAAGAGGGAAACAACCCAGACCGCCAGCUAAGGUCCCAAAGUCAUGGUUAAGUGGGAAACGAUGUGGGAAGGCCCAGACAGCCAGGAUGUUGGCUUAGAAGCAGCCAUCAUUUAAAGAAAGCGUAAUAGCUCACUGGUCGAGUCGGCCUGCGCGGAAGAUGUAACGGGGCUAAACCAUGCACCGAAGCUGCGGCAGCGACGCUUAUGCGUUGUUGGGUAGGGGAGCGUUCUGUAAGCCUGCGAAGGUGUGCUGUGAGGCAUGCUGGAGGUAUCAGAAGUGCGAAUGCUGACAUAAGUAACGAUAAAGCGGGUGAAAAGCCCGCUCGCCGGAAGACCAAGGGUUCCUGUCCAACGUUAAUCGGGGCAGGGUGAGUCGACCCCUAAGGCGAGGCCGAAAGGCGUAGUCGAUGGGAAACAGGUUAAUAUUCCUGUACUUGGUGUUACUGCGAAGGGGGGACGGAGAAGGCUAUGUUGGCCGGGCGACGGUUGUCCCGGUUUAAGCGUGUAGGCUGGUUUUCCAGGCAAAUCCGGAAAAUCAAGGCUGAGGCGUGAUGACGAGGCACUACGGUGCUGAAGCAACAAAUGCCCUGCUUCCAGGAAAAGCCUCUAAGCAUCAGGUAACAUCAAAUCGUACCCCAAACCGACACAGGUGGUCAGGUAGAGAAUACCAAGGCGCUUGAGAGAACUCGGGUGAAGGAACUAGGCAAAAUGGUGCCGUAACUUCGGGAGAAGGCACGCUGAUAUGUAGGUGAGGUCCCUCGCGGAUGGAGCUGAAAUCAGUCGAAGAUACCAGCUGGCUGCAACUGUUUAUUAAAAACACAGCACUGUGCAAACACGAAAGUGGACGUAUACGGUGUGACGCCUGCCCGGUGCCGGAAGGUUAAUUGAUGGGGUUAGCGCAAGCGAAGCUCUUGAUCGAAGCCCCGGUAAACGGCGGCCGUAACUAUAACGGUCCUAAGGUAGCGAAAUUCCUUGUCGGGUAAGUUCCGACCUGCACGAAUGGCGUAAUGAUGGCCAGGCUGUCUCCACCCGAGACUCAGUGAAAUUGAACUCGCUGUGAAGAUGCAGUGUACCCGCGGCAAGACGGAAAGACCCCGUGAACCUUUACUAUAGCUUGACACUGAACAUUAAGCCUUGAUGUGUAGGAUAGGUGGGAGGCUUUGAAGUGUGGACGCCAGUCUGCAUGGAGCCGACCUUGAAAUACCACCCUUUAAUGUUUGAUGUUCUAACGUUGACCCGUAAUCCGGGUUGCGGACAGUGUCUGGUGGGUAGUUUGACUGGGGCGGUCUCCUCCUAAAGAGUAACGGAGGAGCACGAAGGUUGGCUAAUCCUGGUCGGACAUCAGGAGGUUAGUGCAAUGGCAUAAGCCAGCUUGACUGCGAGCGUGACGGCGCGAGCAGGUGCGAAAGCAGGUCAUAGUGAUCCGGUGGUUCUGAAUGGAAGGGCCAUCGCUCAACGGAUAAAAGGUACUCCGGGGAUAACAGGCUGAUACCGCCCAAGAGUUCAUAUCGACGGCGGUGUUUGGCACCUCGAUGUCGGCUCAUCACAUCCUGGGGCUGAAGUAGGUCCCAAGGGUAUGGCUGUUCGCCAUUUAAAGUGGUACGCGAGCUGGGUUUAGAACGUCGUGAGACAGUUCGGUCCCUAUCUGCCGUGGGCGCUGGAGAACUGAGGGGGGCUGCUCCUAGUACGAGAGGACCGGAGUGGACGCAUCACUGGUGUUCGGGUUGUCAUGCCAAUGGCACUGCCCGGUAGCUAAAUGCGGAAGAGAUAAGUGCUGAAAGCAUCUAAGCACGAAACUUGCCCCGAGAUGAGUUCUCCCUGACCCUUUAAGGGUCCUGAAGGAACGUUGAAGACGACGACGUUGAUAGGCCGGGUGUGUAAGCGCAGCGAUGCGUUGAGCUAACCGGUACUAAUGAACCGUGAGGCUUAACCUU
RNAcentral lists this ribosomal RNA (2904 nucleotides) under Escherichia coli K-12. RNAcentral's name for it is "23S ribosomal RNA from Escherichia coli K-12 (PDB 7N1P, chain 23)". It matches the Rfam family "Bacterial large subunit ribosomal RNA". Lineage: Bacteria; Pseudomonadati; Pseudomonadota; Gammaproteobacteria; Enterobacterales; Enterobacteriaceae. The record is from RNAcentral.